AAGGAAGAUUAAUACCCCAUAAUAUUUAGAAUGGCAUCAUUUUAAAUUGAAAACUCCGGUGGAUAGAGAUGGGCACGCGCAAGAUUAGAUAGUUGGUGAGGUAACGGCUCACCAAGUCUGCGAUCUUUAGGGGGCCUGAGAGGGUGAUCCCCCACACUGGUACUGAGACACGGACCAGACUCCUACGGGAGGCAGCAGUGAGGAAUAUUGGACAAUGGGUUAGCGCCUGAUCCAGCCAUCCCGCGUGAAGGACGACGGCCCUAUGGGUUGUAAACUUCUUUUGUAUAGGGAUAAACCUACCCUCGUGAGGGUAGCUGAAGGUACUAUACGAAUAAGCACCGGCUAACUCCGUGCCAGCAGCCGCGGUAAUACGGAGGGUGCAAGCGUUAUCCGGAUUUAUUGGGUUUAAAGGGUCCGUAGGCGGAUCUGUAAGUCAGUGGUGAAAUCUCACAGCUUAACUGUGAAACUGCCAUUGAUACUGCAGGUCUUGAGUGUUGUUGAAGUAGCUGGAAUAAGUAGUGUAGCGGUGAAAUGCAUAGAUAUUACUUAGAACACCAAUUGCGAAGGCAGGUUACUAAGCAACAACUGACGCUGAUGGACGAAAGCGUGGGGAGCGAACAGGAUUAGAUACCCUGGUAGUCCACGCCGUAAACGAUGCUAACUCGUUUUUGGGUUUUCGGAUUCAGAGACUAAGCGAAAGUGAUAAGUUAGCCACCUGGGGAGUACGAACGCAAGUUUGAAACUCAAAGGAAUUGACGGGGGCCCGCACAAGCGGUGGAUUAUGUGGUUUAAUUCGAUGAUACGCGAGGAACCUUACCAAGGCUUAAAUGGGAAAUGACAGGUUUAGAAAUAGACUUUUCUUCGGACAUUUUUCAAGGUGCUGCAUGGUUGUCGUCAGCUCGUGCCGUGAGGUGUUAGGUUAAGUCCUGCAACGAGCGCAACCCCUGUCACUAGUUGCCAUCAUUAAGUUGGGGACUCUAGUGAGACUGCCUACGCAAGUAGAGAGGAAGGUGGGGAUGACGUCAAAUCAUCACGGCCCUUACGCCUUGGGCCACACACGUAAUACAAUGGCCGGUACAGAGGGCAGCUACACAGUGAUGUGAUGCGAAUCUCGAAAGCCGGUCUCAGUUCGGAUUGGAGUCUGCAACUCGACUCUAUGAAGCUGGAAUCGCUAGUAAUCGCGCAUCAGCCAUGGCGCGGUGAAUACGUUCCCGGGCCUUGU
Molecule: ribosomal RNA, 1222 nt
Filed under: Chryseobacterium sp. 87H
Lineage: Bacteria; Pseudomonadati; Bacteroidota; Flavobacteriia; Flavobacteriales; Weeksellaceae
Description: bacterial SSU rRNA
Rfam family: Bacterial small subunit ribosomal RNA
Source: RNAcentral